CUACGCAGAUUCCAGGGCCUUAUUCCCAACAUACUGAAUCAGAAACUGGGGAGUGGGGCCCAGCCAAUCCGAUCCGAAGGAAGCUCAUGUUUGAGAAACACCGGCUUAGUGUAAGGGGCUGCCGAUUGGUAUAAAAUGUCACCUGAGGUCUAUUUUGUCUCCGGGAGAGGUAGCUCUCGUACCUCUUAAGGAAAAUGAAGGUUUAUGGGCUAGUUAGUGGUUCUUAACUACAAGGUUGCAGCAGCUGGCUUCAGUUGACUCCAAAAUGGCCCUUUAAAUAAAUACAAAGCAAAGGACAAAGAUUAAAUUAUAUUAGCAGCCUAGGAGCAGAAGGGCCAGACUGCUUUAAAAAAACCAGCUAGAGAUUUUAUUAAUAUUUAAAUUGCAGUGAAACCACAGCUGCAGCCUUUGACUCCAGUGUGGAGAUAUGCAAAUGGGGCUUUCUAAAGAAAGGCAAUUUCAGACAGCCCUCAAGGUAACAAGAACAAAUAAAACAAAUGAUUUUGUAAUUUAUCUUUAUUGACUGAUGGAGAGCAAGGUGAACAGACAACCCUUACCUAGUGAGAGCCAGCCACCAGUGUGCUCUCGCUCUCGGAGGGGAGAAGAGACAGCUGGCCUGGAGGGAGAAAGCAGGCAAGACCCGUCAAGGGGGAUAGGAAAGACCCAAAGAGGACAAAGCAGAAGGAGGCAGAUGGGAGAAGAUGAUUAAAUUGAAAGGGAAGAAAAAUGGAAACCCAGCCCUGGCUUCUGGGGACCAUCUGAUCUUGCCAGGUCUCGGGGGCAACGGCAAUAAUAAUCAUUAAUGACUAUCAUUUGCCACAUUCCUACGAAGUGCCAUGCGCUAUUUCCAACAUACGAAUGAGGAAAAUGACACUUUGAGAGGUCAAGCAACUUGCCCCAGGGUCACACAACAAAAGGAGGUGGCAAAGCCUUGAUGCAGACAUAGAUUUGUGUGAGGCUAAACUGUGCAGGGAACCAGCCUUAGGAGUUGGUGAGUGACAAUAAGGUUAAUGAUUGAGGGGAGACUAUGAACCCAGUUCUGUGAUAGCUUCUAUAUGUGUGGUUGUGGAAGGGAGGGGAGAAGAGAUCCAUUUCUGGCCUUCAUAUUGCUUACUAUUCAAUGGGUAAGGCAAGAAAGCCACAGAAAACCCUUGCAGAAUUGGCCUUCUGGUUCAGAAGCCCCCUGGGGGCUGUGUGGCAGGACCUCCGCUUGAAGCAUCUCAAGCUGACCCCUGGAGCUUGGGUAGGAUUUGACCUGGUGAAAAAGAAGCCAGGAGAUUGCAGAAGGCCUGGAUAAGAACCCCCCCAGCCGGCAGAACUAAGACUAGGGGAAAGGAGCACACGAUCCACAAAGAGGAGUUGGGAAAGUCUUCUGAGGAUACAUUUCCCUGACCCAUGUGGUCUUCCUACACCAUCCACCCCAAGCUGAAACCCAACCUCUCCAGAACCUCACCUGCUGCUCCCUCUCAGGCACCCUGGCCACCAAACAUGGGGACCCACAGGUUCCACCCACAUUGUAACUUGACCUCGGUGAGUUCUGUUCUUCCAUCUCCACAGGCCCAAUCCUGUCCAUCCCAGCUUUUCCACAGAACCUUCACCAGCCUUCCAGCCCAGAAUCUCUCCUCCUACAGAAUACCUCAGAAGUUUGUUUUAUUUAUGACACUUUCUUCCAUCACCUUUGAAUCCAGAGCAUAAGAAACCCCCUUCAAGAGGCCUUUCCUGAUUCCCUUGGGCCCGGAUCAGAAGCAGUCAGGCCUGGAUGUCUAAGCUGUAAGGAAUAAAGGUUCACUUAUAAAGGGUC
This is a long non-coding RNA of Herpailurus yagouaroundi (jaguarundi), 1801 nucleotides long. RefSeq lists it as uncharacterized. The transcript has 2 exons. NCBI's taxonomy places the organism in Eukaryota, Metazoa, Chordata, Mammalia, Carnivora, Felidae. The record is from RefSeq and is a predicted model, not a curated record.